AAUUCUCAAACCUUCAAUGGGUUUUUCUUAUUGAAGGCUUUGGAUAUGGGGGUUUGCUGGCGUCUGUCAGCUCCCCUAAAAUGCAUUAGUGGUUACUGUUCUCCACUUCGACGUGAUAGUUAUCUGCGUCUAUAGGUGGGGAUGUUAAGUGUAGCUGCUCUCUAAUUGUCGCUAGACAAAUUGAACC
RNAcentral lists this unclassified non-coding RNA (187 nucleotides) under uncultured Tricholomataceae. RNAcentral describes it as "sequence contains ITS2". Lineage: Eukaryota; Fungi; Basidiomycota; Agaricomycetes; Agaricales; Tricholomataceae. The record is from RNAcentral.